GGGAAGCUUCUGUAGUUAUUGGUAUGAGAAGCUUCCGGA
RNAcentral lists this unclassified non-coding RNA (39 nucleotides) under Crithidia permixta. RNAcentral's name for it is "trans-spliced leader sequence SL". Lineage: Eukaryota; Euglenozoa; Kinetoplastea; Trypanosomatida; Trypanosomatidae. The record is from RNAcentral.